Molecule: ribosomal RNA, 492 nt
Filed under: uncultured bacterium
Lineage: Bacteria
Description: partial 16S ribosomal RNA
Rfam family: Bacterial small subunit ribosomal RNA
Source: RNAcentral
AGUGAACGCUGGCGGUAGGCCUAACACAUGCAAGUCGAACGGCAGCACAGUAAGAGCUUGCUCUUACGGGUGGCGGGUGGCGGACGGGUGAGGAAUACAUCGGAAUCUACUUUUUCGUGGGGGAUAACGUAGGGAAACUUACGCUAAUACCGCAUACGACCUACGGGUGAAAGCAGGGGAUCUUCGGACCUUGCGCGAUUGAAUGAGCCGAUGUCGGAUUAGCUAGUUGGCGGGGUAAAGGCCCACCAAGGCGACGAUCCGUAGCUGGUGUGAGAGGAUGAUCAGCCACACUGGAACUGAGACACGGUCCAGACUCCUACGGGAGGCAGCAGUGGGGAAUAUUGGACAAUGGGCGCAAGCCUGAUCCAGCCAUACCGCGUGGGUGAAGAAGGCCUUCGGGUUGUAAAGCCCUUUUGUUGGGAAAGAAAAGCAGCAGGUUAAUACCCCGCUGUUCUGACGGUACCCAAAGAAUAAGCACCGGCUAACUUCGUG